GCCCUCUGGUAGUUUUAAAGAGAAUGUAAUGCUCAAGUAUAAGUUUUCUCCAUGCCAGCGUAACUAUGAGUGCCUUGAACGGCUUCUAACCCUUGGUGAGCGGGAAUGAGAGCGCGAGCGUGAGCGAGAAUGAGAGUGAGACCGAGAACGGGAGCGGGAAUGGUAUCUUCGAGAACUGCUUCUACUUGGACUUCUGUGUCGGUAUCUUCUAGGUGGAGAUCGACUAUAACUCCUACUACGGCUAC
This 245-nucleotide unclassified non-coding RNA is filed under the name Hevea brasiliensis (rubber tree). The record is from RNAcentral. Lineage: Eukaryota; Viridiplantae; Streptophyta; Magnoliopsida; Malpighiales; Euphorbiaceae.